RNAcentral lists this ribosomal RNA (253 nucleotides) under uncultured bacterium. RNAcentral's name for it is "partial 16S ribosomal RNA". It matches the Rfam family "Bacterial small subunit ribosomal RNA", at positions 524 to 776 of the family's 1533-position model. The record is from RNAcentral.
UACGUAGGGUGCGAGCGUUGUCCGGAAUUACUGGGCGUAAAGCGCUCGUAGGUGGUUUGUCGCGUUGUUCGUGAAAACUCACAGCUUAACUGUGGGCGUGCGGGCGAUACGGGCAGACUGGAGUACUGCAGGGGAGACUGGAAUUCCUGGUGUAGCGGUGGAAUGCGCAGAUAUCAGGAGGAAUACCGGUGGUGCAGACGGCUCUCUGGACCGCAACUGACGCUGAGACACGAAAGCGUGGGUAGCAAACAGG